UGCAGAAUCACGUGAACCAUCGAGUCUUUGAACGCAAGUUGCGCCCCAAGCUGUUAGGCUGAGGGCACGUCUGCCUGGGUGUCACGCAUCGUCGCCCCACCCCAACCCCCUGGGGGACUGGCGGUGCAGGCGGAGAAUGGCCUCCCGUGCGCUGCCGCUCGCGGUUGGCCCAAAUACGAGUCCUCGGCGACGGAAGCCGCGACAAUCGGUGGUGCAAGCAUGCCUCUCGAGAUCACGUCGCGCGCCCACGUCUCCGUAUGGGGGCUGCAGGACCCUGGUGCUCUGCGCAGGCGGAGCUCGCAUCGCGACCCCAGGUCAGGCGGGAUCACCCGCUGAGUUUAAGCAUAUCAAUAAGCGGAGGAAAAGAAACUUACCAGGAUUCCCUUAGUAACGGCGAGCGAACCGGGAAGAGCCCAGCUUGAAAAUCGGGCGCCCCCGGUGCCCGA
Molecule: ribosomal RNA, 446 nt
Filed under: Acronychia pedunculata
Lineage: Eukaryota; Viridiplantae; Streptophyta; Magnoliopsida; Sapindales; Rutaceae
Description: eukaryotic LSU rRNA
Rfam family: Eukaryotic large subunit ribosomal RNA (bases 306-446)
Source: RNAcentral